UGUAAAUGUGCAAACAAUUCUAAUAACCUGUUUGCUUUGACAUUAUGGGGCAUUGUGUGUAGAUUGAGGGGGGGAACUAUUUAAUCAAUUUUAGAAUAAGGCUGUAACACAACAAAAUGUUGAAAAAGUGAAGGGGUCUGAAUACUUUCUGAGUGCACUGUAUAUAUUGCACAUAAACAGUUAUAGGAAUCUCCUUACAGCAAUGCCUCGGUAUGCCUUGAGACGUUCACAUUUGAGCUUUCUUUGUUGCAAGUGCAUGAUAACAAAUGAAUAACAUGAGAGAAAAGAGAGACCCGCAUGCUACUCUUGCUACUGUCACUCUUCUUGAUGAAGACCUUGAGGCUGAUACGUAAAACUUAAAAAAUAACAUUGAUACUAACAAGAGCAGCAUGGGAGUUUCUGUUUUCUCUUAAGCAAUGCCUCGGUAUAAAAGCACUGGUUACAAUUUACAGUGUAGUAUAUUACUCCAUGAUCAUUUUGUUUCAUUUUUAAAAAGGUCCUUAGAUGUGUUUCUAAAAAUCAUCAACAGUGUACUGUCCACUGUCCUUAUUUAUCCCUGCUAACUGUUUUUUCACAGGCAAAUUUAGUUUAGAAAUAUUGCUUAUCCGAAAGAAGUUAGACUGGUUUUUAGUCCCUCUGAUGUGAAUGUCGCAUACCGUCGGUAAUGUUGGCUUUGCAUUAUGAAGAGGUAAGUAGUGACUUUUUCUUAGCCAUCACUAGUCCCAGGUGGCGUUGUGAGCAGUACGUGCUGUCGUUUCACCAUUCACAAAAAGAUUCUAGAAGGUUCUAAGGCUAAAUCAACUUUUUUCUACUAGAUUAUAACGCUUAGUUAUUUAAUUUAAUAGCGAAAGCUUUGGAUAAUCUAUUUUUUUCUUAGUAUUAUUUUACCAGGGAAAUUGACUGAGAACACAUUCUCAUUUACAGCAACGACCUGGGGAAUAGUUACAGGAGGAUGAAUGAGCCUAAAAUUGUCACCAGUACUAUUUCAGGGGAUUGGAUGUUUGUAUGAAAUGUAUAUUUUACUGUGCUGCAUGUGUUUGUUGUUUCUCUGGCCAGUCUUGUCUUUGUGUUAAGGAUGUGUCCCGUUCUCGUCAGUCAUCAGCUCAUCGAUUAAUCUUCCAGGAAGCAUUUUUCAGGGGAUCGAAUGUUUCUAUGAAAUGUGAAUUUUUACUGUGCUGCAUGUGUUUGUUGUUUCUCUGGCCAGUCUUGUCUUUGUGUUAAGGAUGUGUCUCGUUCUCGUCAGUCAUCAGCUUUUUGAUUAAUCCUCCAGGAAGCAUUUUGCAGCAGGUUGUACCACAUCAUGCACUGUAGUAAAUGCACAUUAACACCCCAUACUAGUGUAUUAUGACUUCCCUUUGUGUUCCACAUGAAAGGAGUGAACAGGGAUUAUUCACAUGUUUGAGUGUCACAGGAGCUUGGGAAAGAGCAACACUUCAUGCUGGAAAAGGAUGAAAGAAGGAUAGACUUGCGCCGUUGAAAAAGUGGAAGAGUCAGAACUGUAAAACUGUACAAUGUGCAGAGUUUUACCUGAAGAUGUUUUAUGUCAUUAACAAACAUCUGGUUGAUACCGUGUUAAACGAGGAAUUCAUCUGACAAGGGAUAGACACUUUGGUGAGUACAUUUUCUAAUGCUGUCAGUGGUUACCAUUUUUUAUCUUAUUGCAUUUAGCCAGAGUCAUUAUUUACUAUGUGAACUAAUUGUAAUUUGUACAUAUAAUAUUAGAUUUCAAUCAUAAUAAUUGCUAUAAUGUUAUUUUUUAAUAAAG
Molecule: long non-coding RNA, 1765 nt
Filed under: Salmo salar (Atlantic salmon)
Lineage: Eukaryota; Metazoa; Chordata; Actinopteri; Salmoniformes; Salmonidae
Description: lncRNA (ENSSSAG00000121717.1)
Source: RNAcentral